Brassica napus (rape) is the source of this 2179-nucleotide RNA transcript. It is a transcript of the gene named transcription factor SCREAM2-like, with no coding region annotated. Lineage: Eukaryota; Viridiplantae; Streptophyta; Magnoliopsida; Brassicales; Brassicaceae. The record is from RefSeq and is a predicted model, not a curated record. The transcript is spliced from 6 exons.
UGUCACUGAACUAUUCCCGCAAAAAAAAAAGAAAAAAAAAACAGAGAGGUGGCAAAAGAUGAAGCGGAAGUAAGAGAGACGGAAAGCAAAGAUAGUCACGAGAAUCAUUGGCAAACUCCUCUUUUAAAGAGAAGAAGAAGAAGAAAGAUUUGGCCUUUUUCUUUGAAGAGAUCUCCUCUGCAAGAUCCUCGUGAUUCCCCUUUAACGCCUCCCUUCUUUAUAACUUCUCUCUGAAAAAUAUUCAAAGUAUCUUCUCCAAAGUUCACAACUUUCUCAGCUAUGAACGGAGUUUGGCUCGACGACGACGCCGGAGAACAUUCUCAGGCGGGCUAUAACGAUGAGCCUGUGCCGUGGGUUAGAAACCCAGAAGAAAACUGGUUUAAUAACUCACAACCACACGAUGAUUCUCAAAACGAGUUCAGAUUCAACAAUGGUGGGUUUCCUCUAAACCCUUCAGAGAAUCUGCUCCUCCUUCUUCAGCAAUCCAUUGACUCCUCUUCUCCCUUUCAACACUUCACACUCGACGCUACUACUCCUCAACAACAACAACAGCAACAACAGUCUGUCUUAGCUACAAAAGCUUGCAUCGCUUCUCUCCUCACUGUUCCCACCACCACCAACAACAACAACAACAACCCUUUUGAUAACUUCGGUUUCGACUCUCCGUUUCUAGGACAACUAAACCAGACUCCAAACUCCAUGAGUUUCCCUGUAAUGACUUCGCCACCUCCGGACUUCCUCCCUUCCCGGUCAUGUAACGUGUUCAGCCCUCUGGAGUUCGAGGGCCUCGCGAGCGGCGUUUUCGAGAACAGAGCCAAGGUUCUGAAACCUUUAGAGGUUUUGCCUUCCUCUGGCUCUGAGCUGACGCUGUUCCAGAAACGAGCUGCAAUGCGUGAGAGUUCCAGUAGCAAAAUGUGCAACUCUGACUCUUCUUCCUCUGAGGUGAGGAGAGAGGUUGGUGAUGAGACUAGUCGUGGAAUCGUGGACAUCUUUAACUACGAGUCUGAUGAGCAUAACAACAACAAAGGGAAGAAGAAAGGAAUGCCUGCUAAGAAUCUAAUGGCUGAGAGAAGGAGGAGGAAGAAGCUUAAUGAUAGGCUUUACAUGCUCAGAUCAGUUGUCCCCAAGAUCAGCAAAAUGGAUAGAGCAUCGAUACUUGGUGAUGCUAUUGAUUAUCUUAAAGAGCUCUUACAGCGAAUCAACGAUCUUCAUACCGAACUUGAAUCUACUCCAUCAAGUUCUUCAGGCUUAACACCGUCACCACAAACGCUACCUUACCGUGUUAAGGAAGAGUUGUGUCCAUCUUCCUCCUCCUUGCCAAGCCCUAAAGGCGAGCAAGCAAGAAUUGAGGUUAAGUUAAGGGAAGGAAAGGCAGUGAACAUUCACAUGUUCUGUGGAAGACGACCUGGUCUUUUACUUUCCACCAUGAGAGCUUUGGAUGACUUAGGAUUGGAUGUUCAACAGGCCGUGAUUAGCUGUUUCAACGGUUUUGCUUUGGAUGUUUUCCGCGCUGAGCAAUGCCAAGAAGGUCACGAGGUGUUUCCUGAACAAAUCAAAGCAGUGCUUCUAGACACAGCUGGUUACUCUGGUUUGCUUUGAUUCCAGUUCCUUUGCGGAACAGAAGGAAGCAUCUAUGCAGCAAAGCUAGAGAUUAUCUCCGCUGCGUUUUUACCGACUUUAAUCAUGGCGCUAAUUCGACUAAGAAAGGCGUUUGCGAAGAGGAUUGUGUUGUCUGAGUUUCUGGCUCAACGCUUUCAAAAUCUAGAGAAGAGACAAGAAAGUAACAGGCCCGUCGGGAUUUGAGUCGAUCUUCACCGAUUUGCAUUCCUAAUAUUUUUAAUGGACGAUUUACGAAUGCCAAGUUGAUUGUUCAAAACUGGAUUUGAACUAGCUAUCUGGAAAAGGGUAAAUAGCUAUUUCAACCUUUGUUGAAUUGAACUGAUCAAGACUUACUAGAGGACGACCAUUUGGAAUUGUAGAAACAUUACGAGGAAGUAUUGUGAUGGGGUCCCAUACAUUCUAUGUAAUACUAUUUUCUAAUUUGAGACUUAUGUAAUAUUACUAUACUAUUUUAUCAUGUUUCAUUUCAUUUGACGAUUACUAAAAAGUGAUCUAUUUUGUUAAGAAAUAUAGUUUGUAAUUUUCUUAAUUUUUAACUAUCGUUACAUGUUUUUAUGCC